RNAcentral lists this non-coding RNA (30 nucleotides) under Rattus norvegicus (Norway rat). Lineage: Eukaryota; Metazoa; Chordata; Mammalia; Rodentia; Muridae. The record is from RNAcentral.
UGGGAUUAAAGGUGUGUACCACCUGUAAAA